CCUACGGGUGGCUGCAGUGGGGAAUAUUGGACAAUGGGGGGAACCCUGAUCCAGCCAUGCCGCGUGUGUGAAGAAGGCCCUCGGGUUGUAAAGCACUUUCAGUGAGGAAGAACGCCUGGUGGUUAAUACCCAUCAGGAAAGACAUCACUCACAGAAGAAGCACCGGCUAACUCCGUGCCAGCAGCCGUGGUAAUACGGAGGGUGCGAGCGUUAAUCGGAAUUACUGGGCGUAAAGCGCGCGUAGGUGGCUUGAUAAGCCGGUUGUGAAAGCCCCGGGCUCAACCUGGGAACGGCAUCCGGAACUGUCAAGCUAGAGUGCAGGAGAGGAAGGUAGAAUUCCCGGUGUAGCGGUGAAAUGCGUAGAGAUCGGGAGGAAUACCAGUGGCGAAGGCGGCCUUCUGGACUGACACCGACACUGAGGUGCGAAAGCGUGGGUAGCAAACAGGAUUAGAUACCCCAGUAGUC
RNAcentral lists this ribosomal RNA (465 nucleotides) under Vreelandella stevensii. RNAcentral's name for it is "partial 16S ribosomal RNA". It matches the Rfam family "Bacterial small subunit ribosomal RNA", at positions 338 to 795 of the family's 1533-position model. Lineage: Bacteria; Pseudomonadati; Pseudomonadota; Gammaproteobacteria; Oceanospirillales; Halomonadaceae. The record is from RNAcentral.